Molecule: ribosomal RNA, 253 nt
Filed under: uncultured bacterium
Lineage: Bacteria
Description: partial 16S ribosomal RNA
Rfam family: Bacterial small subunit ribosomal RNA
Source: RNAcentral
UACGGGGGGGGCAAGCGUUGUUCGGAAUUACUGGGCGUAAAGGCUCGUAGGCGGCCAACUAAGUCAGACGUGAAAUCCCUCGGCUUAACCGGGGAACUGCGUCUGAUACUGGAUGGCUUGAGUUUGGGAGAGGGAUGCGGAAUUCCAGGUGUAGCGGUGGAAAUGCGUAGAUAUCUGGAGGAACACCGGUGGCGAAGGCGGCAUCCUGGACCAACACUGACGCUGAGGAGCGAAAGCCAGGGGAGCAAACGGG